RNAcentral lists this long non-coding RNA (376 nucleotides) under Mytilus galloprovincialis (Mediterranean mussel). Lineage: Eukaryota; Metazoa; Mollusca; Bivalvia; Mytilida; Mytilidae. The record is from RNAcentral.
AAAAGUUUAUUUCAGCUCUCUUCUUUCAUUUCCAACCCAGAAAAGCUAAGAAAUGAAUGAGAAAGGGAAAGAAAAAAAAAUAAGAAAAAAUACACUAUAAUUAAAGGGAACUAUAUUCGUGAACAACGAAAAGCGGGGUCAUUAAUUGUGGUCUUGGGCCUAUUAGGGGCCAAAAACUUGACCAAUUCCAAUAAAACUUGGCAUGAUUUAAGCUUAGUGUAUUAUGAGUCAGUUUACAAAGUUUCAAAGCCAUAUGAUAUAUAUUAUAGAAAAUGUGGCAUUUUUUAUAUCUCAACUUUGGUUGCUGAAUUGUGACGUAUAGAUAGAAAAAUUUCAACUUUCAAAUUUUGGCUUCAAAAAUCCCCCCAAAACACCA